CCCCUCUCAGGGUGGCACCUGGAGAGUUUCCAAUACUCUAUCAGUCUCGGCUACGGGAGGGAGAGUAAAGCAGAGGUCUACCCAUUCCAUUCCUAGCUGUCGUAGUAGCUAGCGAGUGGAAGGCAAUCUGGUACAAGU
Molecule: small nucleolar RNA, 138 nt
Organism: Ornithorhynchus anatinus (platypus)
Lineage: Eukaryota; Metazoa; Chordata; Mammalia; Monotremata; Ornithorhynchidae
Source: RefSeq, a predicted model, not a curated record